Long non-coding RNA from Bufo bufo (common toad), 267 nucleotides. RefSeq lists it as uncharacterized. The record is from RefSeq and is a predicted model, not a curated record. NCBI's taxonomy places the organism in Eukaryota, Metazoa, Chordata, Amphibia, Anura, Bufonidae. The transcript is spliced from 3 exons.
AUUGUUUGUACCCUUGCCUCAUUGAGCCCAUACGGAUUGAGGCUAUUAAGUUUGAAUAUCCAAUACAUCUCCCGACGUCUGAUGUAUUGGACGUCUGUUUGGAGAUGUAUUGGAAUGAGUUCAAUGGGUGUUAUCAUGAACCCUGCAGUAUUGCCAUCAUGAUGUUCCGCCGCAUGUCUGGAAACGCUGUGUUUCAUAUAUCUUUUCCGGAUUUUCGAACGAUGUGUGUUAAAACGUUUGCGUAGGGUUUGUAUUGUACGGCCUACA